UGCUGACGCCAGAGAUAGUCGGGCACUGCGCGUAUGGCAAGGUGCUAUGCCGGCUAGUCGACGUACCUACUGAAUUGAUGGGCAGGUACCGGCAAGACAACCUGGAUCGGGGAAGGCUAAGGCGCUCGCACGAGUGCUAUGCUGAUCCCGAGCAGAGCUUUCGCGGAGCGAUCCACGAUCACAGCCUGCGUAGAGCACGGAAAGGUGUCGGCCUACUCACGGAGCAGGCUUAAGGGACGUGCCAUUCCCACCCGAAAGGGUGGCUGCCAGCCAGAGCGCCCAUCACGCGAAGGCUGGCAGGCUCGAACAGCUCGUUUGAGCGGGACAGAUAAGGCCAGCAGCCGCGGUAAUUCCAGCUCCAAUAGCGUAUAUUAAAGUUGUUGCAGUUAAAAAGCUCGUAGUUGAACCUUUGGCCUGGCUGGCAGGUCCGCCUCACCGCGUGCACUUGUCCGGCCGGGCCUUCUCUUCUGGAGAACCGCAUGCCCUUCACUGGGUGUGCUGGGGACCAGGACUUUUACUUUGAAAAAAUUAGAGUGUUCAAAGCAGGCCUUUGCUCGAAUACGUUAGCAUGGAAUAAUAGAAUAGGACGUGCGGUCCUAUUUUGUUGGUUUCUAGGACCGCCGUAAUGAUUAAUAGGGACAGUCGGGGGCAUCAGUAUUCAAUUGUCAGAGGUGAAAUUCUUGGAUUUAUUGAAGACUAACUACUGCGAAAGCAUUUGCCAAGGAUGUUUUCAUUAAUCAGUGAACGAAAGUUAGGGGAUCGAAGACGAUCAGAUACCGUCGUAGUCUUAACCAUAAACUAUGCCGACUAGGGAUCGGGCGGUGUUUUUAUUUUGACCCGCUCGGC
This 846-nucleotide ribosomal RNA is filed under the name Longipedicellata aquatica. Its description in RNAcentral is "SSU rRNA". The stretch from base 119 to 846 matches the Rfam family "Eukaryotic small subunit ribosomal RNA", at positions 1 to 1084 of the family's 1831-position model. Lineage: Eukaryota; Fungi; Ascomycota; Dothideomycetes; Pleosporales; Bambusicolaceae. The record is from RNAcentral.